Molecule: ribosomal RNA, 579 nt
Filed under: uncultured marine bacterium
Lineage: Bacteria
Description: bacterial SSU rRNA
Rfam family: Bacterial small subunit ribosomal RNA
Source: RNAcentral
UCGAACGCAGUAGCAAUACUGAGUGGCAAACGGGUGAGUAUAAUGUGGGUAUCUGCCUUUUGGUUUGGAAUAACACGAGGAAACUUGUGCUAAUACCGAAUAAGCCCUUACGGGGAAAGUUUUAACGCCGAAAGAUGAGCCCGCACUUGAUUAGCUAGUUGGUAAGGUAAAGGCUUACCAAGGCAACGAUCAAUAGCUGUUCUUAGAGGAAGACCAGCCACAUUGGGACUGAGACACGGCCCAGACUCCUACGGGAGGCAGCAGUGGGGAAUCUUGCACAAUGGGGGAAACCCUGAUGCAGCGAUGCCGCGUGAGUGAAGAAGGCCUUUGGGUUGUAAAACUCUUUCGUCGGGGAAGAAAAUGACUGUACCCGAAUAAGAAGGUCCGGCUAACUUCGUGCCAGCAGCCGCGGUAAUACGAAGGGACCUAGCGUAGUUCGGAAUUACUGGGUUUAAAGAGCUCGUAGGUGGUUAAAAAAGUUGAUGGUGAAACCCCAAGGCUCAACCUUGGAACUGCCAUCAAAACUUUUUAGCUAGAGUGUGAUAGAGGUAAGCGCAAUUUCUAGUGUACAGUUGAAAU